UUUUUUUUUUUUUUUUUUUUUUCCUUUUUUUCCUACAUC
Molecule: non-coding RNA, 39 nt
Filed under: Nephroselmis pyriformis
Lineage: Eukaryota; Viridiplantae; Chlorophyta; Nephroselmidophyceae; Nephroselmidales; Nephroselmidaceae
Source: RNAcentral